Molecule: long non-coding RNA, 1498 nt
Filed under: Bos indicus x Bos taurus (hybrid cattle)
Lineage: Eukaryota; Metazoa; Chordata; Mammalia; Artiodactyla; Bovidae
Description: lncRNA (ENSBIXG00000009059.1)
Source: RNAcentral
AGGGUCCUUCUCCGCGCUCGGGGCUGACUAACCAGCAAACAGCCACCUUGACAGCCCAGCUCCCACGUAGCAGCUCUGAUUCCUUGAUCAUUCCUUUGGAACACCUGAGAAGAAGUCCUAAAAUGACAUCCUUUUCCUUCCUGAGAUCUGGUGUUCCAUUGACAUUUGGGGAGACAAAUUUAGUGAUCUCAGGGUUUAACCCUGCAGCAGCUGCUUUCUGGAAGCCUUCUGUGAUAUCAGUUUGACCGUGCACAGCACAGCCUUUGGUCAUGUGCACAGAUGGAUUGCCACCUGGACUCCAGCUCACCACACUGCAGUCAAGAAGUUGUUCCAAGAUUUCCCUGGUGGUCCGGUGGUUAAUACACAAUGCUCCCAGUGCAGGGGGCACAGGUUUGAUCCCUGGUUGGGGAACAAAGACCCCUGUAUGCUUCCUGGUGAGGGCAAAAUAAAAUCAACAAAAACCCUAACUUGUCCCCAGUCAGACAGCUGGGUUAUCAUGAAUGAGACUCACAUCGUGAGUUCCUUUUUCAGGGAGCACAGCCUUGAACUGCUUGUGAUCCAUCGCUGAAACCCAAAUGCCUCCUAUAUCUGACCCAUUACUACACUUGUUUAUGAUCGGAAUGCUACUCUGGUACUAGUUAUUGCAUUAUAGUCAGCAUCAUUUUAAUCUUUAUAUAAUAUUAAUGACAGUUCUUUAUAUUUGUUAAACAUAUAGGCUCUGACAGUAAAGAAUCUGUCUGCAGUGCAGGAGACCAGAGUUCAGUCCCUGGAUCAGGAAGAUCUCUGGAGAGGGGAAUGGCAACCCACUCCAGUAUCCUUGCCUGGAGAAUCCCAUGGACAGAGGAGUCUGGCAGGCCACAGUCUGUGGGGUCGCACAGAGUCGGAUAUGAUUGGUGCCUGAGUUGGUGAUGGACAGGGAGGCCUGGCGUGCUGCGAUUCAUGGGGUUGCAAAGAGUCGGACACGACUGAGCGGCUGAACUGAACUGAACUGAACUGUACACUUUACACUGUAGUUUUGAUCAUACGACCUUCUUGUGAAUACGCAAAAAACAAAAAUAUAAGUGAAAGGAAUUGAGUAUUUUUCCUAAAACUUCAAAUUCUUUUGAAUUACUUCAAGUCAGAGUUGUUGGUGCUUGUAAUUUUCCAUACCGUUGUAUGGUGCUCUGGGCCACUGAGAUCGCUACUGAUUCCUCAAAUGACUGAUCCAUUGAUUCUCUGAUUCUCUUCAAGUUACUGUCACUUCUGAAUUUUGAUGUUGAUAUGUUUAAGGAGUGUAAAUGUGCAGCAGCUUUGUAUGUUAUGACUGCCACCUGGUCCACAGUAAUUAUGACAUGCCAUGGGCAGUAAGAGAGCAUCCAGAUCUUCAAGAUAUUAAAAUGUGGGUAAGUGUGCAGAUUAGAAUCAGUGGCAUACAGUAUCUGACUCACACUAUAUGCAUCUUAGUUGUGAGAAAAUUAUAGACUAACUCAAAAAAUAAAAACAGUUUUAUUAUAUUACA